Falco peregrinus (peregrine falcon) is the source of this 2299-nucleotide long non-coding RNA. RefSeq lists it as uncharacterized. The record is from RefSeq and is a predicted model, not a curated record. The transcript has 2 exons. Lineage: Eukaryota; Metazoa; Chordata; Aves; Falconiformes; Falconidae.
AUGCUUGGGAACUAGUUUCUCAGGUAUACAUCUGGGUAUGCUUGGGAACUAGUUUCUCAGGUAUACAUCUGGGUAUGCUUGGGAACUAGUUUCUCAGGUAUACAUCUGGGUAUGCUUGGGAACUAGUUUCUCAGGUAUGCAUCUGGGUAUGCUUGGGAACUAGUUUCUCGGGUAUACAUCUGGUCUGGAAAACUCAGGUAUACUUCUGUGGCUGGCACCCUAAGUAUACUUCUGGUUUUGUUUGGGUUUUAUCAACAUUUAAUUGCCAUCUGGAAUCUGGCAAGUUUGCUUAUAAAGCUUAUUUGCUGCAGUGUUGCUUAUUUUGGUUACCGGAUUUAUGGAAUGUGGAAUUUGACUUUGAUAAUUGUUACUGUGAUUUCGGCUAUAUUUUUGAUAAUAAUAGUGAGCUCUUGGUGUUGCUGUAGAAAGAUACCUGCGUGUUGCAUUUUGUAAGUAGUAAUUCUGUAAGUGAUAAGUGUGUUCUGUGAAUGUAAGCUGGAAAAAUGGGAGGAAAGCAGAGUGGUGGGAUUUUAAAGAAAAGCCCGUUAGGAUGUGUUCUGAGUCACUGGAGGGUUAUUGGAGGGUCUGCUGGUGGAAGUGUGAAUAAGAAAACAUUGAUAAAGUACUGCAAUCAAUGGUGGCCACUUUAUUAGCUGGAAGGUGGGGAAAAGUGGCCUUGUAAUGGAACUAUAAAUUAUAAUACUUUGCUGCAGUACGGAGAGAAGGAAAAUGGGAUGAAGUAAUGUGUGCUGAUAUGUUUGUGUGACAGAAGGAGUGUGGGAUUUACACCACCUGAUCUUUGAUUAUGGAUCUAGAAAAGGAUAGGAAAAAACAAACAAACAAACAAAAAACCAAGAACCUGAGACUUAAACUAAAAGGAUGUUCUUGUUGAAAUAUUUGUGUAAAAAAAAUAAAAAUAGAGAGAGCUCAGGUUGUGGUUCUUUCUGUGCAGCAACCAGAAUGAAACACAUUGUAAGAUAAAAACUUGUGCUAAUGUAUGUAAGAUCUGAAGCCAGGGGGGUGGAGAGUCAAAGACCCUGUGAAAGUGUUAAAGUAUUGGGGUGAGUUUGUACAAACCCCCGUACCCCCUCGAAAGUGCGGCUGAGUCCUGCGGGACGCAUGGCAGGGUGUUUGCUGUUUGCCUGCGAAGGCAUGGUAUGUAAGAACGCAGACUUAAAGCAACAAGGAGCAGAUUUGCAUUCAGGGUAAGAAAGAGUUAAAACAGAAGUGCUGCUGCAGAGGCAGGCUUGUGUAACCUGCAGAGCAGGAAGAGCAUCUCUUACCCCGAACCCUUCUGCUGGUGAGGAGGAGGGGGUUGCUGUUGCUGACGAUUGAGCAGAAGGACCUGAUAAUGUCACCCCAAUUGCUGCAGCAUUUGCAGCACAACAGGACCCGUAACGGCCCCUGUAGGGCAAGCAGCGGGUCUGAGGAGAGUAAAGGUGCAUCUUUGAUGGAGAAAUUUAGAUGUUUGAAAGUUGGUUGUGAAUAGGACUGGAUAAAGGUUCGAGUUGUUUGUUACUAGGUAAUUGUGAUGUAGAAAAGUUGGUGAAUAUAAAACCAACUUAUUUGGUGUUAAACUUCAGUGAAAAGAGUUUGUUACAGUUGUGGGAGCUGCUGGCCACCAGGAAAAUAUCCUGAAACCUUUAAAGUACAAACUAAGAAAACAAAUAGGAAUGCCAAAUUCACCAAAAUCUUUGUUGGGAAGAGAUCUAUUAGAACAUCUAGACGUUUAAAGAAGGGGAAAUGAAACCAAAAGUUAAAAAUGAUCAAUUAAUUAAAAUGUUGAGCUUAUCUUUAAUUCAACAGAAAAGUGGAAGAGAGGACCUCCCUGAAGUAAAAGAAAUCUUUAACCAGGUAUAUCUGGAAGUAAAUUCCAGGUAAGGGGAAAAAUGCUUUCCCUGUUACAGUAAAAAUGAUAAACGGGAGGCCUGCCUAGUUCAGGUAAAACAAUAUCCCUUGGUCAGCAAGGCUGUGGGGGAUAUUGCAUAAAAACUAAAAUAAAAUACACUCUGUAGUAGUUCUACUAAUGUAAAUCUGUGAAUUAUCCUUAAUACCAGACGGUAGAAUCCAAACUGUAAGUACAGAUCAGGAGCCAAAUUAUUCUAAAGAAAACUUAAAGGUAAUUCAGGACAUGAAUGAUAAAAUAAAUAAGUGGAUUUAUUUGAGGGAUGGUCGUAUAGUGGUACCAUCCAAUUUAAUAUGGACCACAGCCCUAACAGAACAUAAUAAGAUGCAUUGGAGAACUGAUAAUUUAUAUAAAAGUCUAAAUCAGAAAUUGAUAGGGCAGAACUUGUAUACU